Pelobates cultripes (western spadefoot toad) is the source of this 308-nucleotide non-coding RNA. NCBI's taxonomy places the organism in Eukaryota, Metazoa, Chordata, Amphibia, Anura, Pelobatidae. The record is from the annotation of a GenBank genome assembly.
CAGGUCUCUGCCUCCGGUCUCUUGUUGCCCCUAGGGACGUAUGGUACUAUUCUGUCCGGGUCCCAUGAGUGGGUGGCUUGCGUUGGUCCUGGUGUUGGGGCGUUCUGAGUUAGUCCCAAUUUUUGGAGAAGCGCUGGGGCCUCCGAGAGUGAGGUGAGUUUUAGAACCUCUUCUCCGCUGAAUACCACCAGGGUUCUUGGCAACAGCCAUCUGUAUUCUACGUUCCCCUUCUGCAGUUGUUCCGUUAUGUUGCUCAAGGACUUUCUCCAGAGUAGGGUGCUCCGCGUGAUAUCUUGGAAGAAGGUAAG